Molecule: ribosomal RNA, 253 nt
Filed under: uncultured bacterium
Lineage: Bacteria
Description: partial 16S ribosomal RNA
Rfam family: Bacterial small subunit ribosomal RNA
Source: RNAcentral
UACGAAGGGAGCUAGCGUUGUUCGGAAUUACUGGGCGUAAAGGGCGCGUAGGCGGCCAAUUAAGUUAGAUGUGAAAGCCCCGGGCUUAACCUGGGAAUAGCAUUUAAUACUGGAUGGCUAGAGAUCGAGAGAGGAAAGUGGAAUUGUGAGUGUAGAGGUGAAAUUCGUAGAUAUUCACAAGAACACCAGUGGCGAAGGCGGCUUUCUGGCUCGAAACUGACGCUAAGGCGCGAAAGCGUGGGGAGCAAACAGG